Molecule: ribosomal RNA, 739 nt
Filed under: uncultured Pseudomonas sp.
Lineage: Bacteria; Pseudomonadati; Pseudomonadota; Gammaproteobacteria; Pseudomonadales; Pseudomonadaceae
Description: bacterial SSU rRNA
Rfam family: Bacterial small subunit ribosomal RNA
Source: RNAcentral
UAAGCCGCGCGAUUGACAAUAGAUUGCUCCCAUGAUUCAGCGGCGGACGGGUGAGUAAUGCCUAGGAAUCUGCCUAUUAGUGGGGGACAACGUUUCGAAAGGAACGCUAAUACCGCAUACGUCCUACGGGAGAAAGCAGGGGACCUUAGGGCCUUGCGCUAAUAGAUGAGCCUAGGUCGGAUUAGCUAGUUGGUGGGGUAAAGGCUCACCAAGGCGACGAUCCGUAACUGGUCUGAGAGGAUGAUCAGUCACACUGGAACUGAGACACGGUCCAGACUCCUACGGGAGGCAGCAGUGGGGAAUAUUGGACAAUGGGCGAAGCCUGAUCCAGCCAUGCCGCGUGUGUGAAGAAGGUCUUCGGAUUGUAAAGCACUUUAAGUUGGGAGGAUGGGUUGUAGGUUAAUACUCUGCAAUUUUGACGUUACCGACAGAAUAAGCACCGGCUAACUCUGUGCCAGCAGCCGCGGUAAUACAGAGGGUGCAAGCGUUAAUCGGAAUUACUGGGCGUAAAGCGCGCGUAGGUGGUUUGUUAAGUUGGAUGUGAAAGCCCCGGGCUCAACCUGGGAACUGCAUCCAAAACUGGCAAGCUAGAGUACGGUAGAGGGUGGUGGAAUUUCCUGUGUAGCGGUGAAAUGCGUAGAUAUAGGAAGGAACACCAGUGGCGAAGGCGACCACCUGGACUGGUACUGACACUGAGGUGCGAAAGCGUGGGAGCAAACAGGAUUAGAUACCCUGGUAG